Molecule: ribosomal RNA, 402 nt
Filed under: uncultured bacterium
Lineage: Bacteria
Description: bacterial SSU rRNA
Rfam family: Bacterial small subunit ribosomal RNA
Source: RNAcentral
UGGGGAAUCUUGCACAAUGGGGGCAACCCUGAUGCAGCGACGCCGCGUGAGCGAUGAAGCCCUUCGGGGCGUAAAGCUCUUUCGACCGGAACGAUAAUGACGGUACCGGGAGAAGAAGCUGCGGCUAACUACGUGCCAGCGGCCGCGGUAAUACGUAGGCAGCAAGCGUUGUUCGGAGUUACUGGGCGUAAAGAGUGCGUAGGCGGUUUUCUAAGUUCGGUGUGAAAUCUCCCGGCUUAACUGGGAGGGUGCGCCGAAGACUGGGAAGCUGGAGUGUGGGAAAGGCAGGCGGAAUUCCGGGUGUAGCGGUGAAAUGAGUAGAUAUCAGGAGGAACACCGGCGGUGUAGACGGCUUGCUAGACCAUAACUGACGCUGAGGCACGAAAGCGUGGGUAGCAAACA